UUUAUGUUUAAUCCUUCUCUUGUCACGUGACGUGUAAAAAACACAUCUCCUAAUUUUUAACCUGCAGUCCUUUUGUAGUCCAUGUUAAGGGUUGUCCGUAUGUGUGUUUACAGGGUUUUGCCACACACGAAGGCAACCCUCAUCUCUUGAAUACCAAUGUCAAGACUUUGAAAAGAGAUGGCUUUGGAGAGAAGAAGGUGUUCGAUUGUUUCGUGGCAGAAGAGACACAAUCAACAGUUAGCCCUGUCCUGGGGUUGUGGAUAUAUGCAGUGGAUGGCCAAACGAGGGAACACAAGCGGUAUCAACUUCUACAAACAAUUAGGUGCUUUGGAAACAAACACGAAUAACCUCAUGACAUUCACGUUAGACGAAG
This 373-nucleotide unclassified non-coding RNA is filed under the name Haliotis rufescens (red abalone). Its description in RNAcentral is "thialysine N-epsilon-acetyltransferase-like, transcript variant X1". The record is from RNAcentral. Lineage: Eukaryota; Metazoa; Mollusca; Gastropoda; Lepetellida; Haliotidae.